RNAcentral lists this non-coding RNA (96 nucleotides) under Escherichia coli. Lineage: Bacteria; Pseudomonadati; Pseudomonadota; Gammaproteobacteria; Enterobacterales; Enterobacteriaceae. The record is from RNAcentral.
CGCGAACAGAGGCAACUCUGUGAGUGAUUAAGCAGAAGUCAGCAGACGGCAUAGUAGCCAAACGCCCAUCGUAAUGGUUGGGACACGGUGAAGGCC